GUUGAUGCAGAGAAUUCUGGACC
This 23-nucleotide non-coding RNA is filed under the name Cricetulus griseus (Chinese hamster). Lineage: Eukaryota; Metazoa; Chordata; Mammalia; Rodentia; Cricetidae. The record is from RNAcentral.